RNAcentral lists this ribosomal RNA (301 nucleotides) under uncultured bacterium. Its description in RNAcentral is "partial 16S ribosomal RNA". It matches the Rfam family "Bacterial small subunit ribosomal RNA", at positions 509 to 807 of the family's 1533-position model. The record is from RNAcentral.
CAGCAGCCGCGGUAAUACGUAGGUGGCAAGCGUUGUCCGGAAUUAUUGGGCGUAAAGGGCUCGCAGGCGGUUUCUUAAGUCUGAUGUGAAAGCCCCCGGCUCAACCGGGGAGGGUCAUUGGAAACUGGGAAACUUGAGUGCAGAAGAGGAGAGUGGAAUUCCACGUGUAGCGGUGAAAUGCGUAGAGAUGUGGAGGAACACCAGUGGCGAAGGCGACUCUCUGGUCUGUAACUGACGCUGGGGAGCGAAAGCGUGGGGAGCGAACAGGAUUAGAUACCCGCGUAGUCCCUGUCUCUUAUAC